GACGAACGCCGGCGGCGUGCUUAACACAUGCAAGUCGAGCGGUAAGGCCCUUUCGGGGGUACACGAGCGGCGAACGGGUGAGUAACACGUGGGUGACCUGCCCUCAGCUCUGGGAUAAGCCCGGGAAACUGGGUCUAAUACUGGAUAUGACUCCACGGUGCAUGCCGUGGGGUGGAAAGCCUUGUGCGGCUGAGGAUGGGCCCGCGGCCUAUCAGCUUGUUGGUGGGGUGAUGGCCACCAAGGCGACGACGGGUAGCCGGCCUGAGAGGGCGACCGGCCACACUGGGACUGAGACACGGCCCAGACUCCUACGGGAGGCAGCAGUGGGGAAUAUUGGACAAUGGGCGAAAGCCUGAUCCAGCAAUGCCGCGUGUGUGAAGAAGGCCUGGCGGGUUGUAAAGCACUUUCAGUGGGGAAGAAAAGCUUGGUGUGAUAGCGCCGAGUCUUGACGUUA
RNAcentral lists this ribosomal RNA (454 nucleotides) under uncultured bacterium. RNAcentral's name for it is "bacterial SSU rRNA". It matches the Rfam family "Bacterial small subunit ribosomal RNA", at positions 28 to 477 of the family's 1533-position model. The record is from RNAcentral.